RNAcentral lists this ribosomal RNA (253 nucleotides) under uncultured bacterium. Its description in RNAcentral is "partial 16S ribosomal RNA". It matches the Rfam family "Bacterial small subunit ribosomal RNA", at positions 524 to 776 of the family's 1533-position model. The record is from RNAcentral.
UACGUAGGGUGCAAGCGUUAAUCGGAAUUACUGGGCGUAAAGCGUGCGCAGGCGGUGAUGUAAGACAGAUGUGAAAUCCUCGGGCUCAACCUGGGAACUGCAUUUGUGACUGCAUCGCUGGAGUACGGCAGAGGGGGAUGGAAUUCCGCGUGUAGCAGUGAAAUGCGUAGAUAUGCGGAGGAACACCGAUGGCGAAGGCAAUCCCCUGGGCCUGUACUGACGCUCAUGCACGAAAGCGUGGGGAGCAAACAGG